This 451-nucleotide ribosomal RNA is filed under the name Actinomyces sp. oral taxon 171. RNAcentral describes it as "bacterial SSU rRNA". It matches the Rfam family "Bacterial small subunit ribosomal RNA", at positions 28 to 459 of the family's 1533-position model. The record is from RNAcentral. Lineage: Bacteria; Bacillati; Actinomycetota; Actinomycetes; Actinomycetales; Actinomycetaceae.
GACGAACGCUGGCGGCGUGCUUAACACAUGCAAGUCGAACGGUGAAGGGGCCUGCUUUUGUGGGUCCUGGAUGAGUGGCGAACGGGUGAGUAACACGUGAGUAACCUGCCCCCUUCUUCUGGAUAACCGCAUGAAAGUGUGGCUAAUACGGGAUAUUCUGCGCCUGCUGCAUGGUGGGUGUGGGAAAGAUGCGCCUUUGGGUGUUUUUGGUGGGGGAUGGGCUCGCGGCCUAUCAGCUUGUUGGUGGGGUGAUGGCCUACCAAGGCGGUGACGGGUAGCCGGCCUGAGAGGGUGGACGGUCACACUGGGACUGAGACACGGCCCAGACUCCUACGGGAGGCAGCAGUGGGGAAUAUUGCACAAUGGGCGCAAGCCUGAUGCAGCGACGCCGCGUGAGGGAUGGAGGCCUUCGGGUUGUGAACCUCUUUCGCCAGUGAAGCAGGCCUGCCUC